This 463-nucleotide ribosomal RNA is filed under the name uncultured bacterium. Its description in RNAcentral is "partial 16S ribosomal RNA". It matches the Rfam family "Bacterial small subunit ribosomal RNA", at positions 28 to 507 of the family's 1533-position model. The record is from RNAcentral.
GACGAACGCUGGCGGCGUGCUUAACACAUGCAAGUCGAACGGAAAUGCCUUUUCGGAGGUACUCGAUUGGCGCACGGGUGCGUAACACGUGGGUGAUCUGCCCUGCACUCUGGGAUAAGCCUGGGAAACUGGGUCUAAUACCGGCUAGUACCGCACUUUCGUGUGUGUGUUUGAAAGUUUUUUCGGUAUAGGAUGAGCCCGCGGCCUAUCAGCUUGUUGGUGGGGUAAUGGCCUACCAAUGCGGCGUCAGGUAGCCGGACUGAGAGGGUGGUCGGCCACACUGGGACUGAGGGAAGGCCCAGAUUGCGAAGGGACGCAGAAGGGGGGAAGAUUGCACAAUGGGCGCAAGGAGGAUGCAGCGACGUCGCGGGGGGGAUGACGGCGUUCGGGUUGGAAACUAAGUACGCCAGGGACGAAGCGUUGUGUGACGGUAUCUGGAGAAGAAGCAACGGCUAACUACGUG